GAUAGCGUUGCCGAGCGGGCUAAGGCGCUGGCUCCGGUCUCUUCGGAGGCGUGGGUUCGAAUCCCACCGCUGUCA
Merluccius polli (Benguela hake) is the source of this 75-nucleotide non-coding RNA. The record is from the annotation of a GenBank genome assembly. Lineage: Eukaryota; Metazoa; Chordata; Actinopteri; Gadiformes; Merlucciidae.